Molecule: long non-coding RNA, 817 nt
Organism: Ostrea edulis (European flat oyster)
Lineage: Eukaryota; Metazoa; Mollusca; Bivalvia; Ostreida; Ostreidae
Exons: 2
Source: RefSeq, a predicted model, not a curated record
AUUAGGUCCUGCAGUACCCCUGCUUGUCGUAAAAGGCGACUAAAUGGGACGGUCCUUUGGACGAAACCACAGGCAAUUGCCUGUGGACGAAACCGCUUAAACCGAGGUCCCGUGUCACAAAGUGUGGCACGAUAAAGAUCCCUCCCUGCUUAUAGGCCAUAAGCGCCGAGCAUAGGCCUAAAUUUUGCAGCCCUGGUGACGUCUCCGUAUAAGUGAAAUACUCUCGAGAGGGACGUUAAACAAUAUACAAUCAAUGAAUCAAUCAAUCAAAUUGUCAUCAGAAAAACUGUUUAAUUCCUAUUAGAUCCACCAACUCGGUACAUAGGAUGACGCAACGCAAAUACUCACUGUCAUGAUCGUGUGCAGGAUUGGACAAAACAAGAUGGCAGACGGCAUUUCCAAACAAAGGUAUCAAGCCCUAGAACUUCAUUCCAUGAGAUGGGUACACUUCGAAUGUGCGAAAUUGGUGGUGAGGAAUUCAAGACCAAUUCUGAAUUUCGUAGGCAUGUAAAAAGGAAACAUCAAUCAGAGAAAUUGUCUUCGUUUGUGACCAGUGCAACACACGCUUAUAAAAGAAACAUGAAGUACAAAAAAUUACAUUGUUUUCUGAAUACACGAAGUGCAUACAUAUACCAUGGCAGCCGUUUUAUAUAUCCGUCUAUGUACAUUAUGAAACGAUUAUUUUUACGGUAUUAUGUUUUGUUUUACAGAGAUACUACUAAUCUUUUACAUUGCAUUAUACACAUGCUGAUGUGUUAUUUCAUUGAACCAGAAGUGUUCUUAAUUUUUAUUUGUUAUUAAAUAUAUUUCAAUGUUA